Molecule: transfer RNA, 68 nt
Filed under: Marmota monax (woodchuck)
Lineage: Eukaryota; Metazoa; Chordata; Mammalia; Rodentia; Sciuridae
Description: tRNA.Ala
Source: RNAcentral
GGUUUGUAGCUCAGUGGUAGAGUGCUCUCCUCGCAUGUGAAAGGCACUAGGUUCGAUCCUCAGCACCA